Molecule: long non-coding RNA, 2463 nt
Organism: Felis catus (domestic cat)
Lineage: Eukaryota; Metazoa; Chordata; Mammalia; Carnivora; Felidae
Exons: 9
Source: RefSeq, a predicted model, not a curated record
UAAAAAAAAAAAUUAAAAAAAGAAAAAGAAAAGGUAUGGAGACUAACAGUGGAAAAGGGGUGUGAGAAAAAGAGCAAACACCGUGCCCAGAUUCUAGUAGGGAGAGCCUGGGUAAGCAGAGAGCGUGGCUCUAGGGCAGGAUGGGGCUCAGCUCUGGGGUGUAGGAGGCUUCGCUUGGAUGGGGUGCACACUGUGGUAAGUUUAGAGACCCCUGGGUAGGACUUCAUGGCCAGAAAGGAAAAGGGGCCAUGGUAUAAGAGAGAGAGAGAGCCCUCAGAAAGGCAGUUUGGCCACAUGAAAGAAGGCACUCGGGUACCUCAGAGGCCCCGGGACAGUGACGGAGCGCUCUCCUGGGUGGGAGGUACCCGGAGGGCUCCUGAAGCUGAGGCUUUUCCAACUGGGGCUAGUCAGCACUUAGAAAUUGUGUUUAGAUGUAUGGAAACCAAUUUGACACUAAAUUAUAUUAAAAAAAAAAAAAGAAACUGUGUUUAGAGGGCAAAGGUUAAGAAAGGAGGGGCAUGGUGUAAAGACAACAGCUGACCAGAAAUUGCAGGACACGGCUGGGGAGGGAUUGGUAAAGAAUCAACCCAGAAAUGAUGGGGACCUUCCAGAAAACAUGGCUUUGUCAGCAUCUGUUUCUGUGGUCCAGGAUCAGGCUUUUCCCUUUGGAUCUGCUGAACUCUAAGCCAUCCCCAGUCCAUCAGGGUCACGACCAACACUGAGAAGUUCUGCUGUGAAUAUACUGAACGGUGUCCCACGCAUGUGCCACUGGCUAAGGCUGUGGACGGGGGCGUCAGCAUCGCUUGGCCUGCAGGCACCCCUGAGGCCAAUACUCUUAAGGAUAAUGGAGCUGUGAGCUGGAUGGAGCCUGUGUCCCUGAAGAGAUCAUGAACAGAGCCACUAGACCAGUUGUUGGCCACCUACUUCUGUACUUUCACAGGAGAGAGAAACAACUAUCUGAGGUUACUUUAUUGUAAGAAUACGGUUUCCAAUACACGUGACAUAGAAAAUAGGUGCUAGUCGACGAUUUCUAUCACAGCUUCCUCACUGCAAAAAGGAGAUAGGUCGACCUCUCCCGUGUUGUGCGAUUAAGUGCGAUGAUAUAAAUGGAACGCCUUGCAUGGUGCCUGGCACGUGAAACCGCGUUCCAAGAUCAGGGAGGCAAGUGUCGGAAGGAGAAAACGGCCAGCGUCUCGAGCUCAGAAGAGAACAAGCCCCUGCUAUUUCCUCCACGACGGCAACAGUUGCCCCGGCCGCGACGGAGCCGGCUUCCCCUGCCCUUGGGUACCACGCGACGUCCCGCACCCCCGUCAUCUUUCUGUGGGAUUUCUCUCCACACGCUCCACGGAGGAACCGGGUUCAGGUUACAUCGCAUCUUGUCAAUUCCACCAGACUGGCUGGCGUGCUUUCUUUCCCCGAGGCAAAAACAAAGUCUAGAUGAUGGAAACAGACCCGGAAGAGUCGGCAGGCAGCAAAAGGCAAGGCCUGGGAGGGAUGCUGGCCCAACUGUGCUAGGUUGGUUCCGAGGACUCGCUUCGGGACCCCUGCCUCAAAGAGCAAAGUGUAUUCCGGGAGAAGAAGCAGACAGCUUCCCGCACGUCACUAACCUUACGAAGCACCGCAGGGCAAAGACCGAGGAGACCAAAAUCUCUGGACACCCCAUGUUCUGGCUGGCGGCACACCAUCCGGUUAGCCAAGGACCUUCUUAAGCCAGGCCCCUGAAACUGAGCGUGGAACUUCCAGCAAGCUCUGGCCGAGCCGGGACCUGGCCUGAGGCCUGCAGACCCAGCACAGCCUCACACGUAGUUGAAGACCCGAGGAAUGGAUUCCACCAACAUCCAGACGGGCAGUGAGGGGUGCCAAGAGGAAGCCACACUGCAUCUUUUGGCGAUCAGUAGACCCCGACAGGUCACUCUUCGUUGCAGGUUCAACAGGCAAGUUACAGGCUGAGGAAACGAUGUCUGCGGGCCUGCAACCAUCGGCGAGUUUGAGGACGGCCGGCCUGAGGAAGAGGCCAUCACGGCGAGCGGAGGGGACAGGUGGCGAGAACUGGGGUGUCCGGUGGCUCAGAAUGAGCCCCUCGGUCAGCCAACCUCCAUUCUGCCCCAUCUCCGUUCCUUCGAUAUGUCAAAUAAUUGUGCAAGCCGGUGCAGUUGGGCCUUUUCUCUUACGACAACCAAAAGCGUCUUCCUGAUAAGUGUUCAUCUUCUGGCUGUUGGGAGGUCCCCUUUCUGGGCUUUAUGUAGAGAAUUUGCCCCCUUUCUUGGUUCUACCUUGAAGUGUGGUGGUUAAGGAAGUCUCUGGGUUCACAUUGCCACCUCUGUUUUUAUAGGCUGUGUCCAUUUAGGCAAAUCACUUCAUCUUUUGAGGUCUCAUUUCCUCAUCUGUCAAAUGGGGGCCAUAAUAGUUUGCUGACUCUGGGGACAUGGGGAUUAAAUUAAAUGAGUUCAUGUAAGAAAAGCA